AUUGAACGCUGGCGGCAGGCCUACCACAUGCAAGUCGACCGGAUGAAGGGAGCUUGCUCUUCGAUUCAGCGGCGGACGGGUGAGUAAUGCCUAGGAAUCUGCCUGGUAGUGGGGGUUAACGUCCCGAAACGGGCGCUAAUACCGCAUACGUCCUGUGGGCGAAAGCGGGGGAUCUUCGGACCUCACGCUAUCAGAUGAGCCUAGGUCGGAUUAGCUAGUUGGUGGGGUAAAGGCCUACCCAGGCGACGAUCCGUAACUGGUCUGAGAGGAUGAUCAGUCGCACUGGAACUGGGACACGGUCCAGACGCCUGCGGGAGGCAGCAGUGGGGAAUAUUGGACAAUGGGCGAAAGCGUGAUCCAGCCAUGCCGCGUGUGUGAAGAAGGUCUUCGGAUUGUGAAGCACUGUAAGUUGGGAGGAAGGGCAGUAAGUUAAUACCUUGCUGUUUUGACGGUACCAACAGAAUAAGCACCGGCUAACUUCGUG
RNAcentral lists this ribosomal RNA (484 nucleotides) under uncultured bacterium. RNAcentral describes it as "partial 16S ribosomal RNA". It matches the Rfam family "Bacterial small subunit ribosomal RNA", at positions 30 to 507 of the family's 1533-position model. The record is from RNAcentral.